Molecule: ribosomal RNA, 447 nt
Filed under: uncultured bacterium
Lineage: Bacteria
Description: bacterial SSU rRNA
Rfam family: Bacterial small subunit ribosomal RNA
Source: RNAcentral
UGUCCAGACUCCUACGGGAGGCAGCAGUGGGGAAUAUUGCACAAUGGGCGCAAGCCUGAUGCAGCGACGCCGCGUGAGCGAAGAAGUAUUUCGGUAUGUAAAGCUCUAUCAGCAGGGAAGAAAAUGACGGUACCUGACCAAGAAGCCCCGGCUAACUACGUGCCAGCAGCCGCGGUAAUACGUAGGGGGCAAGCGUUAUCCGGAAUUACUGGGUGUAAAGGGAGCGUAGACGGUGAUGCAAGUCUGGAGUGAAAGGCGGGGGCCCAACCCCCGGACUGCUCUGGAAACUGUGUAGCUUGAGUGCAGGAGAGGUAAGCGGAAUUCCUAGUGUAGCGGUGAAAUGCGUAGAUAUUAGGAGGAACACCAGUGGCGAAGGCGGCUUACUGGACUGUAACUGAGGUUGAGGCUCGAAAGCGUGGGGAGCAAACAGGAUUAGAUACCCCAGUA